AGCAGCCGCGGUAAUUCCAGCUCCAAUAGCGUAUAUUAAAGUUGUUGCAGUUAAAAAGCUCGUAGUUGAAUUUUAGGCCUGGCCAGGCGGUCCGUCUUUGGCGAGUACUGUCUUGUGUCGGGUCUUCCUUCUGGUGAACCAGUAUGUCCUUUAUUGGGUGUGCCGGGGAGCCAGGACCAUUACCUUGAAAAAAUUAGAGUGUUUAAAGCGGGCUUUUGCUUGAAUAGAUUAGCAUGGAAUAAUAGAAUAGGACGUUGUGGUUCUAUUUUGUUGGUUUCUAGGACCACCGUAAUGAUUAAUAGGGAUAGUUGGGGGCAUUAGUAUUCAAUUGUCAGAGGUGAAAUUCUUGGAUUUAUUGAAGACUAACUACUGCGAAAGCAUUUGCCAAGGAUGUUUUCAUUAAUCAAGAACGAAAGUUAGGGGAUCGAAGACGAUCAGAUACCGUCGUAGUCUUAACCAUAAACUAUGCCGACUAGGAAUCGGGCGACGUUAUUUUCAUGACUCGCUCGGCGCCUUAUGG
RNAcentral lists this ribosomal RNA (520 nucleotides) under uncultured Archaeospora. RNAcentral describes it as "SSU rRNA". It matches the Rfam family "Eukaryotic small subunit ribosomal RNA", at positions 569 to 1093 of the family's 1831-position model. The record is from RNAcentral. Lineage: Eukaryota; Fungi; Glomeromycota; Glomeromycetes; Archaeosporales; Archaeosporaceae.